UCCGAUUCAUUCGGGAUAGUGCACUUGGCUACGAAGUUGGCCAGAAUCUGUGCCUUGAUCGAUGACCGUGGCCGAUACUAGAUGUCAAACUCCAAAAGUUCGAUUGCCCAUUUUGCAAUUCACCCUAACGUAUCCGACUAAUAAAGGAUGGUUUUUAUGGGUUGGUCCACCAAGAGGAUAAUAGAAUGGGUUUGAAAGUAUGGGCGUAACUUUCGAGCAGCGAUCAAAAAGGA
Molecule: long non-coding RNA, 233 nt
Filed under: Elaeis guineensis (African oil palm)
Lineage: Eukaryota; Viridiplantae; Streptophyta; Magnoliopsida; Arecales; Arecaceae
Description: long non-coding RNA (EGUI_LNC017061)
Source: RNAcentral